This 4104-nucleotide long non-coding RNA is filed under the name Nicotiana tabacum (common tobacco). RNAcentral describes it as "long non-coding RNA (NTAB_LNC012588)". The record is from RNAcentral. Lineage: Eukaryota; Viridiplantae; Streptophyta; Magnoliopsida; Solanales; Solanaceae.
ACACUAAUACUAAUAUUAAUACUAAUAUGUCACGACCCAUUUUCAAAAUAGGUCAUGAUGGCGCCCGACACCACUGUCAGGCAAGCCGACGCGGAAGUAUAAUUAAGUUCUCAUUUUACUUUUACCAAAAUUAAGCGCAACAUAUCCUCCGGUUUAAAGUUGAGAUAGGAAAUGAUCAAUACUGUACUAAAGUGAUAAUACAACCCAAAAAUAAGUUUAUACUCGAGUGUGUGCCAAGACCUGGUGUCACAAGUAAUAGACAUCUAGUAGAAUAUACAAAAGAAUAUCUCUAUCCUACUGUCUGAGAUAGAAAAGACAUCAAAAGUAAGAAAAGACUCCAUCCGGCUGCUGAACGGCAUAGGAAGGAAGCAGCUCACCGUGGAAGUCUCGGUUUAUGAAUCAGGGGCGUGCACCAGACUGAUAGCCAGAUGUACCUGCCUCAGAUCCUGUACAAUAAAGUGAUUUAAGCUAAUUCAAUAAGCGGAGAAGGAUAUAUUCCACAUCAAUUUAAAGUCAUUUUUACACAUUGAUCAAAGAUACCAACACUUAAACCAAAUAUCAAAGAAGAGCAUGAAGACAUAAUAUUCAUAAGACAACAUGUAUUUCAGUUAGUUAAAGUUGGUUUCAAACAAAACAUUUUAAAACCAAUAAGCCGAUGCAAAGUCAUGGUGUAUAACAUGUCAUCUAAGAAUUCUAACAUAAAGUUCACUUAUGCUUGUAGCAGGAUAGAAUAGAAAAAGAGUCGCAACUUAUUCCAAGUUGUCUUAUUAAAAACAAAAGAAAAAUAAAAUAUACCAGAGUAUUGGAGAAAAUGACACACACAUUUCUGCAUUCCAAGCACAAAAUAGACUCCAAAUCAGUUUCUAAAGUCAGCAAAUGUACUCUAUAGAACAAAUAAUAUGGACACGAGUCAAACACCAUAGGAUCAAAAUAUAAAUUCCUAAGAGCAUGAUUUCUAAACACAUCUUUAUCUAGAAUUUCAGGAAUGCAUUUUUAAGAUAAUUAAAGUCUAAAACAUGAUUCUUAAAUACAACAUUUUUUAACAAAAAAGAGAAAAGAAACAGAAUGGGGUCAAAUAUUACCUCUUGUAGUGAAGCGAACCAGAGCUUCGACCUCGAAUCUACUCUCUCGUUAUGAACAGAUCCGAACCUCAAGUCGAAUGGGUUCGAGCACCUCUAUUGCGGCUAAAGUACACUGAGAUAUUAAAUAAAGUUUGAAAGCUCUUUCUGAGAGUUUCUAAGAGACGAGAAGAGUGAUAAGAGUAAGAAAAAUAGUAGUGUUUACAGUAGUGUUCGAGCGGCGGCUCCAACCUAUCUAAACCCACCCGGAUGUGAGUAUUUAUAAGAGAUGUAGAUCUAGGGUUCAUGUUUGGGCGGGAUUUUGCAAACUUCAAAUUUUGAGAAAUAGUCGUUGUGAGAGGUCAAAAUUGUGAUGCAAGAUAGCAGAAAAAGGGACUGACAUGGAUGGAUGAACAAAGAAAAGGGGUAAGGAACCCGUGACCCUCUCUUGUCUUCCAACGAAUCUUUGUGAAAAUUUUUGACUCGAGGAAGAGAGCAAAAUAGCUUCAAGUAGCUCCUGAAACUUUCAUGAAAAUGGUUAAACAAAGUCAUGUGAUGGUGAGGGGAGGUACAAAAUCGAUCAAAAAAUGGAAAGGAAAGUAAGAGAUGUGGUUGUUGCUUCUUAGAAGAAACAAAUAUGACCUAAUUUAUUUUUUAGGCUUUGAUGUUAGGUGAGGGAAAGAAAUCAGUUGGGCCCUGUGAAUUGGGUUACUGUUCUGGACCGAAAUGCAAGACUUUUAGGGGUGUUAAAAUUCAAACAACCUAUUUCAAUGGGCCGAAAUCAGUGGGUAUUUUGGACUUGGUUUGGAUUCCUUUCUUCUAUUUGAUGUGCUUCUUUAUUAGACUUAAUAAGUCUUCCGAAUGUAUUAUAUAAUAAGAAAAUUUAAAAAAAAUUAUUAGUAGGAAUAGUAAUAUUAUUAACAAUAACAAUUGUAGCAAUAGAAAUAGUAUAAUGAAUUAGUAAUACUAAUAAUACUAACAAUAAGAAUAGUAAUAAUAAUAGUGGUAGUGAUAAAAUAAUGAUAAUAAUAGUACCAAGAAUAAUAAUAAUAAUAGCGAUAAUAGUAGUAGUAGUAGUAGUAAUAAUAAUAAUAAUAAUAAUAAUUUAUCAAUAUUAACACUAAUACUAAUAUUAAUACUAAUAUGUCACGACCCAUUUUCAGAAUAGGUCAUGUUGGCGCCCGACACUACUGUCAAGCAAGCCGACGCGGAAGUAUAAUUAAGUUCUCAUUUUACUUUUACCAAAAUUAAGCGCAACAUAUCCUCCGGUUUAAAGUUGAGAUAGGAAAUGAUCAAUACUGUACCAAAGUGAUAAUACACCCCAAAAAUAAGUUUCUACUCGAGUGUGUGUCAAGACCUGGUAUCACAAGCAAUAGACAUCUAGUAGAAUAUACAAAAGAAUAUCUCUAUCCUACUGUCUAAGAUAGAAAAGACAGCAAAAAUAAGAAAAGACUCCAUCCGGCUGCUGAACGGCAUAGGAAGGAAGCAGCUCACCGUGGAAGUCUCGGUUUAUGAAUCAGGGUUGUGCACCAGACUGAUAGUCAGAUGUACCUGCCUCAGAUCCUGUAUAAUAAAGUGAUUUAAGCUAAUUCAAUAAGCGGAGAAGGAUAUAUUCCACAUCAAUUUAAAGUCAUUUUUACACAUUGAUCAAAGAUACCAACACUUAAACCAAAUAUCAAAGAAGAGCAUGAAGACAUAAUAUUCAUAAGACAACAUGUAUUUCAGUUAGUUAAAGUUGGUUUCAAACAAAAUAUUUUAAAAACAAUAAGCCGAUAUAAAGUCAUGGUGUAUAACAUGUCAUCUAAGAAUUCUAACAUAAAGUUCACUUAUGCUUGUAGCAGGAUAGAAUAGAAAAAGAGUCGCAACUUAUUCCAAGUUGUCUUAUUAACAACAAAAGAAAAAUAAAAUAAAUCAGAGUAUUGGAGAAAAUGACACACACAUUUCUGCAUUCCAAGCACAAAAUAGACACCAAAUCAGUUUCUAAAGUCAGCAAAUGUACUCUAUAGAACAUAUAAUAUGGACACGAGUCAAACGCCAUAGGAUCAAAAUAUAAAUUCCUAAGAGCAUGAUUUCUAAACACAUCUUUAUCUAGAAUUUCAGGAAUGCAUUUUUAAGAUAAUUAAAGUCUAAAACAUGAUUCUUAAAUACAACAUUUUUUAACAAAAAGAGAAAAGAAAUAGAACGGGGUUGAAUAUUACCACUUGUAAUGCACCGAACCAUAGCUUCGACCUCGAAUCUACUCUCUCGUUAUGAACAGAUCCGAACCUCGAAUCGAAUGGGUUCGAGCACCUCUAUUGCGGCUAAAGUACACUGAGAUAGUAAAUAAAGUUUGAAAGCUCUUUCUGAGAGUUUCUGAGAGACGAGAAGAGUGAUAAGAGUAAGAAAAAUAGUGGUGUUUACAGUAGUGUUCGAGCGGCGGCUCCAACCUGUCUAAACCCACCCGGAUGUGAGUAUUUAUAGGAGAUGUAGAUCUAGGGUUCAUGUUUGGGCGGGAUUUUGCAAACUUCAAAUUUUGAGAAAUAGUCGUUGUGAGAGGUCAAAAUCGUGAUGCAAGAUAGCAGAAAAAGGGACUGACAUAGAUGGAUGAACAAAGAAAAGGGGUAAGGAACCCGUGACCCUCUCUUGUCUUCCAACGGAUCUUUGUGAAAAUUUUUGACUUGAGGAAGAGAACAAAAUAGCUUCAAGUAGCUCAUGAAACUUUCAUGAAAAUGGUUAAACAAAGUCAUGUGAUGGUGAGGAGAGGUACAAAAUCGAUCAAAAAAUGAAAAGGAAAGAAAGAGAUGUGGUUGUUGCUUCUUAGAAGAAACAAAUAUGACCUAAUUUAUUUUUUAGGCUUUGCUGUUAGGUGAGGGAAAGAAAUCAGUUGGGCCCUGUGAAUUGGGUUACUGUUCUGGGCCGAAAUGCAAGACUUUUAGGGGUGUUAAAAUUCAAACAACCUAUUUCAAUGGGCCGAAAUCAGUGGGUAUUUUGGACUUGGUUUGGAUUCCUUUCUUCUAUUUGAUGUGCUUCUUUAUUAGACUUAAUAAGUCUUCCGAAUGUAUUAUAU